Small nucleolar RNA from Arachis duranensis, 104 nucleotides. Lineage: Eukaryota; Viridiplantae; Streptophyta; Magnoliopsida; Fabales; Fabaceae. The record is from RefSeq and is a predicted model, not a curated record.
AUGUCAGGAGGACAUCUUCUCAACAAUCCCUUAUACCUCUUCUAAGCUUCAUACAAGGAUUUUUCCUCUUGUUGCUUGAAAGUUUGCACCUCUAUUCUAAGCUU